RNAcentral lists this ribosomal RNA (185 nucleotides) under uncultured bacterium. RNAcentral's name for it is "partial 16S ribosomal RNA". It matches the Rfam family "Bacterial small subunit ribosomal RNA", at positions 1315 to 1500 of the family's 1533-position model. The record is from RNAcentral.
CCUUCAUGAAGUCGGAAUUGCUAGUAAUGGCAGGUCAGCAUACUGCCGUGAACACGUUCCCGGGGCCUUGUACACACCGCCCGUCACACCAUGAGAGUUGGGAAUACCCGAAGCCUGUGAGCCAACAAACGAGGCAGCAGUCGAAGGUAGAAUCAAUGAUUGGGGUGAAGUCGUAACAAGGUAUC